This 235-nucleotide long non-coding RNA is filed under the name Vitis vinifera (wine grape). RNAcentral describes it as "long non-coding RNA (VVIN_LNC000215)". Lineage: Eukaryota; Viridiplantae; Streptophyta; Magnoliopsida; Vitales; Vitaceae. The record is from RNAcentral.
GUAAAUCAAUGAAUAUCCUAAAUGAUCAUGCACACAUAAGAAUCGAGACAUGCAUAGACAACGAUUAGAGGGAAAAAUGGUACGUACCUGGGCAAUGAGCCACCAUGCACUAUCAAUGGAGAGGGUUAGUACACAAUUUAGGGAUGAUUGCAUGCAUGUCAGAGAGUAAGGUAAAUCAAUCAUGUAUGAUAAUCAAAGCAAACAAUCAAUCAAUCAAUCAUAAAGUCACCCAUGU